Molecule: ribosomal RNA, 465 nt
Filed under: uncultured bacterium
Lineage: Bacteria
Description: partial 16S ribosomal RNA
Rfam family: Bacterial small subunit ribosomal RNA
Source: RNAcentral
GACGAACGCUGGCGGCGUGCUUAACACAUGCAAGUCGAACGGAAAGGCCCUGCUUGCAGGGUACUCGAGUGGCGAACGGGUGAGUAACACGUGGGUGAUCUGCCCUGCACUUCGGGAUAAGCCUGGGAAACUGGGUCUAAUACCGGAUAGGAGCCAUUUUUAGUGUGAUGGUUGGAAAGUUUUUUCGGUGUAGGAUGAGCUCGCGGCCUAUCAGCUUGUUGGUGGGGUAAUGGCCUACCAAGGCGGCGACGGGUAGCCGGCCUGGGAGGGUGGACGGCCACAUUGGGACUGGGAUACGGCCCAGACUCCUACGGGUGGCAGCAGUGGGGAAUAUUGCACAAUGGGCGCAAGCCUGAUGCAGCGACGCCGCGUGGGGGAUGACGGCCUUCGGGUUGUAAACUCCUUUCGCUAGGGACGAAGCUUUUUGUGACGGUACCUAGAUAAGAAGCACCGGCUAACUACGUG